AAUUGAUGAUGUGGCAACUUAUUGUUGAAUAGAUGGUGAUUUUGGGAGGGAAUUCCUUUUAUUCUUUGUACACAAACAAAAACCACUAUUUGGACGCGGGAUCCGACUAAAUUCGGGUCGGAUUUAUGGGUAAUAUGGAUCCUAUAAAUCCUAUAAACAAACUUUUUUGACAAACCCUAGAUUGGUAUGUUCUCUCUUCUUCAAUACGCUGGUUCUUCUCAUUCUUCGCCGCCGAUUCAUCAUCCAAAACUGAUCCAUCAUCCAAACCCGAUUGGCUACGCUUAAGCUUAAACCUGGUGGAUUUUUUGUUUUGAAAGACAACCUUGCAAGAUCUGGUACUGGGACAGGUGUAAUCUCCCUAUUUUAUUUUAAUUAUAUUGUAUUUUUAUUAGAUUAUACAGUAAAGUUCAAUGUUUUGUGUUAUACCUUAGUGUUACAUGGUGAUACUUUUACCUAUUGUUUCUAAAUAGUGCACAUAAGACAGUUUGUACGAUUUUGAUGAAUGUUUGAAGUGGAAUAAAAUAAAAGUGGGAGCAAUCUGCUCAUCAAUCCAGGGUUGAUUUGAAAUUCUUUAUAUGUUGGGUGAAUUUAUGUCAAAUAACAAUGAUGGAGCAAAAAGUACGUCUGGUGGGAUGAGCUUGACUUUGGUAGGUCCUAAACAAUUUUGGUGGAGGUCUUGCUGGGAUCUUUUUUAUUUUCUUUAUGUUCUUGAAUGAGCUGUGUGUUUAUGAAUCGAACGUAACAAAACGGAAACUCCAGUUUCUUCUCUUUCUUCUGAAUCGAAUGUUGGUUUAGCUAAUUCAACAGACGAUCAAGUUCAACCACCAACACCUAAUGAAUAUGAUCAUCAACGAGAGCCAUAUGUAUUCAGAUGUUUGUCAUGCUUCAGCAUUUUAAUGCCCACAGGAAAUGGGUUUAAGUUAUUUCGCGGCUUUGGAAAUAAAAACAACGAAGAAAAAAGUGAACUUUCUCUGAAGGAAGUGCCUUUAAAGAAAAGCUGGUUUUCGAACAUAUUUAAAUUGGAAAAGGUGGAGAAUAAUGUCACUGAUCUUAACGUUUCAGUAGCCGUUCAGAGUUUAGAUAUGAAAAAUAAUGCUGGUGGAGUCUCUUCUCUAUCUUCUAACCUAAAUCCGUCAAAUGCAAGAAGCUAACGCACAUAUCUCCAACGGUACAACAGAUUUGGAAAAAAGUCAACUUUCGUUAGAUAAAGUUUUAAGAGAGAGCAGCGGUCAGUAAAUUUAUUCAGAACAUAUAUUCGGUUCAAAUAAGAACCAAUAAAAAUCUAAUCAACGUGAAAACAAUAUAGUGUAUUAGUGAACACAUUAUUCGAGUGCAGUGACAUUUUCGUAAUUAACGUAAAACCAUGUGUAUUCAGUAUUCACCAGUGAAUACACUAUAUACAAAUGAAUCAAAUUUUGACUUGACGUGUUUUCAUGCUACUUACGAAAUUGCCACUGAGUAAUAAAAUCUUCAUGGAACAGAUCUGACGGCCACAUGUGUGUGUGUGUGUGUGUCUGUUUUAGUAAACUUAUAUAAAAUCUACUUUGACUAUGUUUUAAGUCAAAUUACAUGACAAUGAUAUUUGACCAUGGUAUGAUUAUGAAGUUUCAGUUCAAGCACCAAAUGCUAUGCAUGAAGUUUCACAACACGCUGUUCAGAACAAUGUUGAAAUUCAUCUUGAAGAGCCUCUGACUGUCAACAAGGAUGUCUUAACAGACGGUCAAAAAGUUAAUCUUCUCGAAGAUGUGAACAAUAUUGAAUGGGUUAUAUUUGUUUAGCGUCUCUUAUUUCGCUGCAUGAACAGGACACGUUUUCUAACUUUCGCUCUCUAUGUGUUUGUUAGUUGUUCAUUGUUCUCAUGUCAUUGCUUUUGGAUUUUCGGGGAUGAUAACGUAGGUCAUCGCCGGUUUUCAGGUAAACGGGAGUGGAUAGUUUGUUGGCGUUGCUGAAAUGAUGGGGCUUGAUUUCUUAUACAGCCAUGUAACACAAGCCACCACCACAAUCUUGCACCUUAAUUCUCAUUAAGUUCAAUAGGAUGAAGACUCUUGGUUUCAAGUAGAAGGUUAUGUGCUUGCUAAAUUUUGUGCGUUUACCAAUGAAUCAACGUAUCGACUCAAUUUUUAUAGGAUCUGCUUAUGAGAAAAGGCCCGAUUUUUGGUUCCACUUUUGGCUCAAAUGGUUCUACCGCAUCUGCUACUUAUGAUGUUGUGACGAGUAGAGAGUUAUCCAACUCGGUUUGUUUUUAUUCUCCUCUGCGUAAUCAGGACAAACAGCAAGUGAUGACCUGUAUGAGGUUCAACUAACUAUACCAGUGGAGGGUUAUGAGUUGGAUAUACUCAUGUUCUCUUGGUGAUGGUGAACGGGAGUGGAUAGUUUGUUGGCGUUGCUGAAAUGAUGGGGCUUGAUUUCUUAUACAGCCAUGUAACACAAGACACCACCACAAUCUUGCACCUUAAUUCUCAUUAAGGAUUGAAGAUAUCGAUCGCAAGCAUAGAUGUUUGGAGUACUGAAGUACUAAAUCCUACCCGAAUAAUAGAGAUUAGAGAUGCUACUAACUUUUUUAGGCGAGAACAUGAGGUUGCACUUGACUCGAGCAAGCCUAGCCUGUCGGCAUCUGAUUAUGAUAGCGGAAGUCAAAUAACAACUGCCAGCCCUUCUAAUAUGACUAUAUGGAUCAGUUUCCUGCUAUGAAAAUUCAAUCCAGAUAUGUAGCAAAACCACCAAGAGCUGGUGGUAGGUGGUGUGGCGGUGGUGUCACCGAAAGGGUGGUGUGAGUUGCCGGCGUUGCAAGAUGGUGUCAAAGGGGAAGGUAGAAGUUGUAUUGCAGAGUUGUGGCGGAGGUGCUCCUUUGGCAACCGGAGUUGCAGGUGGCAGAGGUGCUCCUUUGGCAGCGGGAGUUGCAGUUGGCAGCCGGAGUUGGAGUUGGCAACGAGAGUUGCAGAUAGUGGAAUUGGAAGGUGUUGCCCUAAUGCAAUUGUCAACUUGAUUAGCAAUCCUGUGAAUUCUACGGUUCCAAUCGCUGCAGAAGUUUUCAAGAAAGCUGGUACUUAUGAACUGUUGCUUGAUUUCUACAGAGUUUUUAGCGAUGUUCAUGUUUGGAUGUGACGAAAUACUUAUAUAGAAGAAAAAAAGGUUGCAAAUGGAGCUGCAAAGGUAAAUUAUAUAAGAACUAGGUUUUUAAGCGGUUAUUAUAAUGUAUUUAUCUUAUUUCGACUUACUACGGUUUUUAAAGGAGAACAGGUCAAUAAAUAGGUUUUAACUAUAAAAGGAACCGGUUGAGUCAGUUUUAAAUCAAGACAACCAUUUUUGUUGUGUAAACAUGUGGUCUAAGCGUUAUAAACCUCAUUUUUUUAGUAGUUCUAUGGGGGUAUGCAAGACUUUGUUGGUGUAGUUGUAUUAUGGACAAAACCAAAUUGACCAUUAAAAAAAAGUCGUUUUGACCUAUACUGAUUUUGUCAAAAACCAUCCAUGCCCAUUAUGUUGCCUGACCUGCCCACCCGUCUUGCCAGGUAUAGUUUUAACGCGUUUGUGACAUGGCUUCAUAUAUAAUUUCAUCAUUUUAGCCGUUUAGGCAUGGUUUCAUAUAUGAUUUCAUCACUUGAGAUAUGUAAAGAGUGACUCUGUAAUUAGAAAUAACAUGAUGACUACUCCUCGCACAAUUUGAAGACUACAAUCGUUUGCGCAAUUUUUUAGUCUCAAUCACAGUGUAAAGAACAAAGUGUAAAGAAAGAACAUACAGAAGUGGAAUGAGCAAGUCAUUAUGUCUCUCUAAAUUACUUGCUCUUUACGUCCGCAUGUAGCGCCCGGUAUGUAGUUUUCGUAUAGAAUUUUUUAGGUAUAUACGUUUUCGACCCCCCGGUUUUAUAUUUUUUAGGUAUAUACGUUUUCGACCCUCCGGUCGGAAAUCUCAAGCUUCGCCACUGCUGCAGAUUCAAUUGGAAUUCAAGGAAGAAAAGUAAACGUUACAGGAACUGAUGGCUGUGUCCAGGUCCUCUCUACCUUCGGUGCGCGCUUGGGCGAGUUAGGUAAUGGGUCAAAGCUGGUAAAAUUUUUUGUAUAGGGGUUAGCCCAAAAUGCUUUUUGUCUAAUUUUAAAUGACUAGAAAACAUAUCCCUUUAAUAAUAGUUGAACUUCUAGCAUCUUUUGACAUGUAUGACCCGUUUAAGAUGUUUUGUCUUUUAAGCUUUUGUUUUGAUAUGAUUUGUAUUAAUCUAAGGAAAACAUUUUUAGUGCUAAAGACUACAUAGAUGGCUAUGAGAAUGUUGGGUGGUUGAACGUGGAUCGGUUAACGUUUUGAGGAAAAGGUUUGAUAGGGUCAACUUCAAAAGUAUAUUUCGGGUGAUUUUUUAUGUAUUUCCUCUAACUAACUUUUGACUAGGUAAAGUUUUGAUUUAUUUGGGUAUUCCUUAAACAAUGCAUCGUUUCAAGACGUAGCACAUGCAACAGCGUUAGCAUAAUUUGCUCAUGAGUAGAUGGACACGGCUUCUGUGCUUCAAGAAGCUCAUAUCUCUAUCAAUCUCCUUCAUGAACAGAUUAAGCCAAGGUCGAAGCGCAACAAAUUAUGGUUGCCUAUUCAUGGAUUCAAACCUUCAAUUGCAACCAUCAAUUCUAACAAUGAUUCUAACAUUCAAAUGCAACAAAUUAUGCUUGCCUAUUCAUGGAUUCAAAUCUUCAAUUGCAACCAUCAAAGUUUAAUGAAGAAGAUGGCAAAGUAUGCAAAGGAAGGCAUGAGGGUGGAAGCAAGCAAAUCAAAAAUUUAUGGAACAAAGCAUGAUGCUUUUGUUGACAUGAUUGCAAGUGUAUUUAUUUAAAUAUCUUAUAUGACUUCUUAUAAUGAUUGGCAUUGUGAUUGGCUUCUAACUUUUGAUGUCAAAUUUUGACACUUUGUUUAUGUAACAUGACACUUUGUUUGUAUUUUAUUUUGUUUCGAUUAUACACUUAAUAUAUGAUCCUUAAUAGUUCA
This is a long non-coding RNA of Helianthus annuus (common sunflower), 4963 nucleotides long. RefSeq lists it as uncharacterized. Lineage: Eukaryota; Viridiplantae; Streptophyta; Magnoliopsida; Asterales; Asteraceae. The transcript has 17 exons. The record is from RefSeq and is a predicted model, not a curated record.